This 404-nucleotide ribosomal RNA is filed under the name uncultured bacterium. RNAcentral's name for it is "bacterial SSU rRNA". It matches the Rfam family "Bacterial small subunit ribosomal RNA", at positions 774 to 1164 of the family's 1533-position model. The record is from RNAcentral.
AGUAAAUAGAUACCCCGGUAGUCCACGCCGUAAACGAUGAAUACUAGGUGUAGGAGGUAUCGACUCCUUCUGUGCCGCAGUUAAACAACAAUAAGUAUUCCGCCUGGGGAGUACGGUCGCAAGAUUAAAACUACAAAGGAAUUGACGGGGGUCCCGGCACAAGCAGCGGAGCAUGUGGUUUAAAAUUUCGAAGCAACGCGAAGAACCUUACCUAGACUUGACAUCUUCUGCAUUAAUCGUAAUGGAUGAAAUCCCUUCGGGGUACAGAAUGACAGGUGGUGCAUGGUUGUCGUCAGCUCGUGUCGUGAGAUGUUGGGUUUAACGUCCCGCAACGAGCGCGACCCCUAUUAUUAGUUGCUAACAUUAAGUUGAGCACUCUAGUGAGACUGCCCGGGGUUUAACCC